Dromiciops gliroides (monito del monte) is the source of this 412-nucleotide non-coding RNA. RefSeq annotates it as small Cajal body-specific RNA 2. NCBI's taxonomy places the organism in Eukaryota, Metazoa, Chordata, Mammalia, Microbiotheria, Microbiotheriidae. The record is from RefSeq and is a predicted model, not a curated record. The transcript has a single exon.
GAGUGAGUGAGUGUGUGUGUGUGUGUGUGUGUGUGUGUGUGUGUGUGUGUGUGUGUCUGCGUGCGUGCAAGGCCAGAAUGAGUGUAUGCAAGGCGAGUGUGUGCCCGCGUGCCGAGCCGGCCCUCCCUGAGCCCCUUCCCCCCCUACACUCUGAUCUUAUUUGAUCGGGCCGCGCUCCCGCCCCGCUGGCCGGACCCGAGAUGAGAAGCUCUCCUCCCGCGAAGUCCCGGCCGUCCCAGGCCGGGGCGCUGUGCGGCGAGGCCCAUGCGAACAGGCGGCGGCCGCUCCCGGGCUCCCCGAGCCAGCCCCUCCGCGGGCCGCGCCGGGCCGGGCGCUCAGAAGUGAUGAGUUGAUCAGAUAGACGAGGCGGGGCUCGCCCCUGCCCUUGAGUAUCGAGGCGAUUCUGAUCUGA